Molecule: ribosomal RNA, 676 nt
Filed under: Mucilaginibacter sp.
Lineage: Bacteria; Pseudomonadati; Bacteroidota; Sphingobacteriia; Sphingobacteriales; Sphingobacteriaceae
Description: bacterial SSU rRNA
Rfam family: Bacterial small subunit ribosomal RNA
Source: RNAcentral
GAGAGUGGCGCACGGGUGCGUAACACGUAUGUAACCUACCUUGAUCAGGGGGAUAGCCUCUCGAAAGAGAGAUUAAGACCGCAUAACAUUAUGAUAUGGCAUCGUAUUAUAAUCAAAUAUUUAUAGGAUCAAGAUGGGCAUGCGCAACAUUAGCUAGUUGGUGUGGUAACGGCAUACCAAGGCGACGAUGUUUAGGGGAUCUGAGAGGAUGACCCCCCACACUGGUACUGAGACACGGACCAGACUCCUACGGGAGGCAGCAGUAAGGAAUAUUGGUCAAUGGACGGAAGUCUGAACCAGCCAUGCCGCGUGCAGGAAGACGGCCCUACGGGUUGUAAACUGCUUUUGCAGGGGAAUAAACCUUCUUUCGUGAAAGAAGUUGAAUGUACCUUGAGAAUAAGGAUCGGCUAACUCCGUGCCAGCAGCCGCGGUAAUACGGAGGAUCCAAGCGUUAUCCGGAUUUAUUGGGUUUAAAGGGUGCGUAGGCGGCUUUUUAAGUCAGGGGUGAAAGACGGUAGCUCAACUAUCGCAGUGCCCUUGAUACUGAAGAGCUUGAAUGUACUUGAGGUAGGCGGAAUGUGACAAGUAGCGGUGAAAUGCAUAGAUAUGUCACAGAACACCAAUUGCGAAGGCAGCUUACUAAAGUAUGAUUGACGCUGAGGCACGAAAGCGUGGG